AUGGGGCUGAGGCAGUGCCAGAAUAGCUGCCCCCCAGCUGCCUUGAUGCCUGAAAUUGCCCCAUCCCAGAGCUGCGCCCAGACUACCUGUGAGCACAAAGAACACUGGCACCAAAAGGCCCAGGUUCAAGGCCUGGCUCGGGCGUAUCCCAUAUCACAGGGGGUUGUGGCUAGUGUUCUCUCUCUGACUCUCCAGGGAGGCUGGGGGCUGUGUCCCUGCCAGCAGGCCAGCUUCCACACGACGGGCUCACUCCAUCGCCUCAUGCUGUCUGAUCUGUUCUCAGUGCCACCUUUUCUGCAUGGAAGGAGAUCAUGAAAUGUAGGACGGAAAACACAAAUCAAACCCCAGGUUGCCAAGGGGAUGCAGAGCAAAGGAAGACAGGUGGAAACGAUGAGGCGGCCUUCCGGCACAGGUUGGCCAUGGGUGAUGUGCAAAGCUGUCUUCACACCUGCUGUUUCGUUUGAUCUUUAAAGCAAGCCUGAAAACCACAGAGCGCUGCCCCCAUGUGUGGGUGGGGACACUGAGGCACGUCAAGGGAGCUGCACAGGGCCCCACUGCUGGAGAGUGAAGUGUUUGCCUGGAAGAUGCCCCCAGGGGAUCAAAGCUGACAUGCUCAGGGUGUGACGGUGUCUGGAGGGACGCAGGUAGAGCUGCUCUGCAUGAAACGAGACCAACUUCCUCCUGAGAAAUGGGGGACAAAGGCGAGAGCAGAGCUGGCGAGGUGCUCUGUCCUUGUGGCCUUUGACUCCUCCGUGGCAUUUGACCCAAGAGACCAUUUCCUCCUUCUGGAAACGCCAUCUCCCCCAGGCUUCUGUGACUCCCUCCGUGGCUGGUUUCCUUCCUACUUCACAGACCAAACACCAAUGAGGAAAAAUUCUAGAACUUCCUAUUGUGAAACGGAGGCUCAGAAUGUCUAAGGGAUGACCCUGCUCAUCACAUAAUGGAAGGAUGCUGGAUUUAAAUCACAGUAAUUGGUAUGUUUGUCCAGCACCUAGGGGGUGCUGGGCCCUGAGCAUUUUCUGUGAGCUGAGCCAUCUGGUCCUCACCACAACGCAGGAGGGGGCUGCCAUUAGUCUCACCACUUGAGAGCAAAGGAAGCUGCCCCCUGGGGGAAGGGACCCACCUGAGGGCACGUAGGAGGCGGGUAGAGGAGCUGGAACGGGAGGCGAGUUCCGUGUGAGUCCACAUCGCUGGAGGGAACCAAGCACCAGGAGACGACCCCUUGACGGGGUCACUGCUUUAGGGACCCGCUCAGGACAUCGGGGCAUGAGGUCCUGUGACAGGGAAGACCCUCCCCCGAGAUUCCAGGAGGCUCCCCCAGAGAGACACUCUUCCCUCAUGCGUCUGUGUUGGCAGCUGCUACCUUUGCUCUCUGAAUCACUGUUUUCAGACUUCAUCACAG
Molecule: long non-coding RNA, 1402 nt
Filed under: Equus caballus (horse)
Lineage: Eukaryota; Metazoa; Chordata; Mammalia; Perissodactyla; Equidae
Description: lncRNA (ENSECAG00000055090.1)
Source: RNAcentral